GCCUCUGACUGGAAGAUGCCGAUGGAACUACAGGUUGAUCGGCUGGGGUUGCCGAUGGGACUAUGUCAGCUGAAAGAAAAACAGAAGUAAUUAUGAGGCAGGGAAAAUAGGUUCAUCGGCAAUAAUUUCAUGAAAAAUAUGUUACCUUGAGGGGGAGCAGUGCUUGUCUAGAUGGAGGAAACUACCGAUGCUAUAAUAGAACCUGCUGGAU
This 211-nucleotide long non-coding RNA is filed under the name Sorghum bicolor (sorghum). RNAcentral's name for it is "long non-coding RNA (SBIC_LNC017651)". Lineage: Eukaryota; Viridiplantae; Streptophyta; Magnoliopsida; Poales; Poaceae. The record is from RNAcentral.